UUUCAUAGUAAUUUUAUUCAUGAAUAUGGUCACUUAAACUUCAUUUCACCUUUGCCCAAGAAGAAUUUUGCUUCAGUUUAUUUAUUUAACACAAAAGAGAAUGUCUGGCUUAUUAUGCUUCAGAUGAUUGACACAUCUCUUGUUUGGAUCCAGAAAAUGUUAUUUAAAAUUGCAGAAGGGUACUAGGAGCUUGUGAAACUUCAUUCUUAUAACAGUAAAGAAGCUUGUGUUUAACUAUUCAUUUUAAUUGUAAUCUUUAAGACUUCAUAGCUUUUUUUCUUUCUUGAAAAGCAUUGCUGUUAAUAUAGGCAUUUUAAACUGUUUUAUUUAGACAAAUUGUUGUCUUAAAAUUGUAUGUACACAGUUGCUCCUAUUGCGUUUCAAAGAUUAAAGUCAAAAUAUGGCUUUACAUGUUUACAUCUUGCAAAAUUACUCCUUCAAGAGGCUUUAAAAUACCAAAUAUGAAAUACAAAUUUGUGCACGAUAGUGUGGUUAGAAUUUUAACAUACAUCAAAAGAAAUCCUUCCAGAGAGGUCAUGAGUUCAACUUUUAUAUGUUCCUGUUUAAGUUAUAGGUGCACUAUGUAAAAUGUCCCCCUUUUUGAAAAAAGUUAAGAACCUAGAAACUGAAUAGCACGAAAAACUCUUUGUGGGACUCAAUAAUUCAUCUGGAAAGGGCUUUGUGUCUGUCUUUCAUGUUUAUCACUGUUUUUAGCUUUCUUGGAGGUGGGAAGAGCUUAUAGUUAAGGGCCCAUUAUCAGGGAAAAGGAUGCAGGAAGUCCAAAAUAUUUAUAUUUGUUCGUGGCACAUGGACAGAAGAUGGUUCUCAGGAAAAGGGCUUUCUGAUUGAUUGAAGACAUGCUGGCGUAUUUUAAUAGCUUCUUCUGUCCAAGAGAUAGCAUCAUCUUUGUCCUUAUCGCUGCUCUGAAACUUACUUUAAACAUUCUCCCAUGCUCCUCCAAUUAGAUGCUUCACUCUCUUGGCUUCCUGUGUCCUCGCUGCAACUCAUCUCAUUUGUUUGCAUUCUCAUCUUUGUCAGCAGGUUGGGUGAAGAAGAGGCAUAUAACAGAUAAUUGAAGGGACAUGCUUUGCAGCUUCAAAUUCAUCUGCAUGGCAUCCAGCCACAGCCACACGGUGAUGGCGAUAAAAUGUGGAUGUGGGAAACAUCAGCUUCCACUUUGCAAAAGCUUAAGAGCCGGCAAUUGAUUGAAUGGAAUGAGAAGAUGAAGAGAAUUAGAAGUGAUAUUCCUAAGGUGUUCUGCAGACCAACACACCAGACAGAAGACAUGGAUUAAGGUUACUGAAGGCAGAUUACUAACGUGGCCUUGAAGGGGGCGGGGGCGGUGGAAUGCACUCGAUGGAAUGUCUGUUGCUUUCUUUUCUACAAAAGAAGAAAGAAUGAAAAAAAAGAGAGAAAAGAAAAAGAAACAACACACACACAGCAUCGGAUGAAUUUUAGAGUUGCUGACAAUUCAGAAACAUGAAGGAACAAGGAGAGAAAAAAAGUGGACAAUGUCCUGGACCAAAGUACGAAAGAGGUGUUUUGAGAAAGGGAUGCCAUAAGAAAUAGCAUAAGAGUCAGUAAAUAUUUGGGGAGAGAUGGAGUGGGAAUGGAGGGAGGGAAGGGAAGAUGGAGAGACGGAGGGAUUGUAGGAGACAAGCAGCAUGAUAUCUCAGGCUUUAGGAAAUAGAUUGCUGGGGUUUACAAAAAGGGCAGGCCACAUUCCAAGGUCAAGAAAGGCAAAAGUUCAUGUGGCUCACCAGACAAUCUUUGAAAAGUAGAAAUCCUAACAAUUUAAUCACAAAUGAGCGUACUAGAGAAGUGAAUGCAGUAUUGACAUUUAGCAAUGCAGCCACAAAGACUCACUCUCCAGACAGCAUCCAGUUAUAGGGCAUCCGCAGAAAUAGAAGGAAACCUGACUCAGCUAGAGGAGGGAGGGAAACAUGGAGGAAUGUCAAGUCGGCUGAGUACAAUGUACAUUUGAAAACACUGCUACAAGGGUUUGUAACUUCUGAAACUAACUUCAUCUACAGUUGCUUCCAUAGAUAGAACCCCUGACUAAUAUGAAAAUGCUUUGCAUGAUACUUUCAUAAUAUGUUUAUCAGCAAGGAGAAAUGUUUCCAAGAGUGACAUGAUAGAACAAGGACAAUCUGGAGCUCAAGUCAUGUGAGCUAAAAAACUGUAAAGAAAAACCCAUUGGUUUGUACAGGGGUAAAGCAUCGAGUGAAUUAAAUAGUAAAAGCCUGGAAGAUCAAAGAGCAUGAGAGUUGUAAGAUUGGCUUGGAAAGGAGAAUGAUGAGAGGCUUAUGAAAUACCAACAGGUCAUUGACCCUGAUUUUAAGGGGAAAUAGUGAGAUUCCUUAAUAUUUACUGUUUACUAAAAUACUGUCAAAUUCUUGCUGGCUUUUAGGAACACUAACCAUAAUGCUUUGUGAGAACCUAUGUAGAAAUGUAGUGUUACUGGAACCAACUUUGACUUAUUGCUAGCCACACAUUCCCUUCCCAAAUGAGGCGUAUGGAGUGAUAGGCAGGAAAGCUGAAGUUGAAGUAUAUCUUUGGUUUCAAAAGAAAUUUAUUGGACAGAAUAAUUUAAGUAAUUCUGGGUCAGACAGAAAAUGUUAAGUUGCAUUAACUUAUCCAAGAUAUGCUUCUAUCCCACACUGAUGGUUGAAAAUUUUUUAUUUAAUCCUCAGUAGUCUUGUACUGUAUUUCACCUGAACCAACAGGACAAUUUUUUGUUCCCUGGAAUUUAAGAUAACACAAUAGUGUCUUGACCUGUGUACUAGGGAGAGAUGAACUCUUAGCUGGCCAUUCUUGGAUUCUGUGGUCUUUCGUGGCAUGUUGUCCUCCUUUGUGUCUUAGUACUUUCGGUUUCAUACACACUAUUCUGGAGGGAGCAGAUCAGGUGCUCCUAGUAAACUGUAGAUAUUCAAUGAUUCAGAACUGUCUGAUGUCCCCACGGGAUAUGUGGCAGGAAGUAAACAACAGCAUUUAGUCUUGCUAGUGCUGUUGACUAUGAUAGCAGACAGCAGAGCAUUCAUUGUUCAUGCUCCUCUUUGCUGGGACCUUCUUAUUGCCUUCUGCUCUACUCCAGUUCCUCCCUGUAGCUGAUGAUGAAGGUGGAUUCCUGGACGGCAAGGUUUGAAUUGAUCCAUCUUUUCCUAAUUGCUAUGGGGAGUGCGGGUUCCCUAAGUUCACAAUUGCUGCGCUUCUGCAGAACACACGGUCCUCAGCUGAAGGAAACCAUAUCAAACGUGCCGGGAGCAUAAGCCAGACUUUCAGAGGUUCAAGGUCAACUCAAUUUCGAGAAGGAAUGUGCAUCUCAGGGCUACUGAGCAGAGCCUUCAAUGCCAAUUUAAUGCAAGUACUCUUCAUCCCGGAACACUAGAAGGCCAGACAUAAAGCUUUGACUUCAAGCCACACACAAAACAUGUGAUUCCAUAUGGGCUUUUGCUGCAUGGUAGCUGUUGAAGGCUUACGUGUGCCAGUUAAAGACAGCUUGAAGGUAACCACUUGAAAGUCAGCAUCAAACAAAGGAGAAAUCAAACCUUGCAUCUGGGCUCUCCAGCCUCCAAAAUUCACAUAUCAGAAGGAUGUGGGAUUGUCAGUAUGAGAAGGUGAAGCAGGCCAGGAAUAAUUUCCAGAGCUCUGCUUCCAGCUCCCUGAUACCUCUCCACCUGGGUAAGCCAUCUGAGCCGGGCAUGAUGACCCUGCCAUCUGCUGCAUCCCUCUGGGUAGCAGCCGGCCUUUUGCAUAGGUUUUUCGCUGGAGGAGAUCUGUUGGCAGCUCUGGGGACCUUCUGAACUCACCUGAGGAGGCUCCGAGGCCUCUGUGGAAGAAUGUGUUUUAAGAACAAGGUGAAAGG
RNAcentral lists this small RNA (3865 nucleotides) under Rattus norvegicus (Norway rat). RNAcentral's name for it is "uncharacterized LOC103692893". The record is from RNAcentral. Lineage: Eukaryota; Metazoa; Chordata; Mammalia; Rodentia; Muridae.